Molecule: ribosomal RNA, 607 nt
Filed under: uncultured bacterium
Lineage: Bacteria
Description: bacterial SSU rRNA
Rfam family: Bacterial small subunit ribosomal RNA (bases 1-521)
Source: RNAcentral
CCUACGGGAGGCAGCAGUGGGGAAUAUUGCGCAAUGGGCGAAAGCCUGACGCAGCGACGCCGCGUGAGGGAUGAAGGCCUUCGGGUUGUAAACCGUCUUUCAGCAGGGACGAAAUCAGACGGUACCUGCAGAAGAAGCACCGGCCAACUACGUGCCAGCAGCCGCGGUAAUACGUAGGGUGCAAGCGUUGUCCGGAAUUAUUGGGCGUAAAGAGCUCGUAGGCGGUUUGUCGCGUCGGCUGUGAAACUCGGGGCUCAACCCCGAGCCUGCAGUCGAUACGGGCAGACUAGAGUGCUGUAGGGAGACUGGAAUUCCUGGUGUAGCGGUGAAAUGCGCAGAUAUCAGGAGGAACACCGGUGGCGAAGGCGGGUCUCUGGGCAGUAACUGACGCUGAGGAGCGAAAGCGUGGGGAGCAAACAGGAUUAGAUACCCGUGGUAGUCCACGCCGUAAACGGUGGGUGCUAGGUGUAGGUCGUAUUCCACGCGAUCUGUGCCGNAGCUAACGCAUUAAGCACCCCGCGUGGGGAGGUACGGCCGCGACGACGUAAACUACGAAGAAGUAGACGGACGUGAGACGUCGCCGACGGACGACGACGAGGGAGGUAGG